Molecule: ribosomal RNA, 1000 nt
Filed under: Pseudopalawania siamensis
Lineage: Eukaryota; Fungi; Ascomycota; Dothideomycetes; Muyocopronales
Description: SSU rRNA
Rfam family: Eukaryotic small subunit ribosomal RNA
Source: RNAcentral
ACUGUGAAACUGCGAAUGGCUCAUUAAAUCAGUUAUCGUUUAUUUGAUAGUACCUUACUACUUGGAUACCCGUGGUAAUUCUAGAGCUAAUACAUGCUAAAAACCCCGACUUCGGGAGGGGUGUGUUUAUUAGAUAAAAAACCAAUGCCCUUCGGGGCUUCUUGGUGAUUCAUGAUAACCAAACGAAUCGCAUGGCCUUGAGCCGGCGAUGGUUCAUUCAAAUUUCUGCCCUAUCAACUUUCGAUGGUAGGAUCUGGGCCUACCAUGGUAUCAACGGGUAACGGGGAAUUAGGGUUCGAUUCCGGAGAGGGAGCCUGAGAAACGGCUACCACAUCCAAGGAAGGCAGCAGGCGCGCAAAUUACCCAAUCCCGACACGGGGAGGUAGUGACAAUAAAUACUGAUACAGGGCUCUUUUGGGUCUUGUAAUCGGAAUGAGUACAAUUCAAAUCUCUUAACGAGGAACAAUUGGAGGGCAAGUCUGGGGCCAGCAGCCGCGGUAAUUCCAGCUCCAAUAGCGUAUAUUAAAGUUGUUGCAGUUAAAAAGCUCGUAGUUGAACCUUGGGCCAGGCUGGCCGGUCCGCCUAACCGCGUGCACUGGUCCGGCCGGGCCCUUUCCUCUGGGGAGCCGCAUGCCCUUCACUGGGCGUGUCGGGGAACCAGGACUUUUACUUUGAAAAAAUUAGAGUGUUCAAAGCAGGCCUUUGCUCGGAUACAUUAGCAUGGAAUAAUAGAAUAGGACGUGCGGUCCUAUUUUGUUGGUUUCUAGAACCGCCGUAAUGAUUAAUAGGGACAGUCGGGGGCAUCAGUAUUCAGACGCGAGAGGUGAAAUUCUUAGACCGUCUGAAGACUAACUACUGCGAAAGCAUUUGCCAAGGAUGUUUUCAUUAAUCAGUGAACGAAAGUUGGGGGAUCGAAGACGAUCAGAUACCGUCGUAGUCUCAACCGUAAACUAUGCCGACUAGGGAUCGGGCGACGUUCCAAUUAUGACUCGCCCGGCAC